UGUCUAUCAGUCUUUUUGAUUUGUCGUUUCAGACGACUGACAAGAAAACCCUGGAGGAACUAAUUGUUAUGUACCAGAAUUCACAUGAAACUUACAAAAACGAACUUGAAGCUUUACGAACACGCGUAGCAGAGGGCUUGUCCAUAAUUGAGAGAGAGAAGGAGACAAAAAAAUCCAGCCCCAGUUGGAUAUGAAGGCGUUGUCAGCAAUUGCUCUUCCUGAAAGCAAAGAGGAUGAUGACGAUGAUUGAUUUUAUGGUGAAAAUAGAAGGCUGCACUUUUAACUUAAGCAAUGUCAAAGCAAAGAUAUUUGUUUCUGGCCUUUGCAAAGAAUGUUUGAACUUUGCCUGUCAUCUUAUGGGUAAGCCGGAAGCAAAGACAAUGAAUGUGCUAUAUCUGUGAUAUUUGUAUUGAUUGUGAAAGAGAAUAGCUCUAAGUCUAAGACUUGUAGAUUGGCACAUGUGAUUUGUAAUGUUUUUCCAGCAGACUUAUUUUUGUGCAGCUUGUACUUCCAGUACUUAUUUCACUGAUUUCUCCAUGUUGCUGUCAUUUAAAUACUUGGUACAUGUAUAAUGUUAUACACUGGAACUCGGAUUCAGCGAAUUCAGAUUCAACAAAAACUCGGAUUCAACAAAAAAGAAGUGUAUUCCCCAUUUGUUUUAUUCUUUAUAAUCAUUUGAAAUAAUUCGCAUUCAGCUAAUAUACUAAUAAGCAAGCUCGGAUUCAACGAAGUUGCUUACAGGGUAAAUGGUCCUCACUGACAUGGCUUCGCCCAAUUUACUCCGGCAACGAACCUUAUGUAUUCCUGGAAACCAUCCACAGUACUACAUUGUGAACCAUUAUUUGCUUAGCCUAUCGUUUAUAUCUCAUGCGACUUAUCAGUGGCCUUCUUUCAUACACACUCAUUGUUGGCACGAGCAUGUGUUCAAGUUUUCCACAAUAAAAACAAACUUGGUAC
Molecule: long non-coding RNA, 957 nt
Organism: Aplysia californica (California sea hare)
Lineage: Eukaryota; Metazoa; Mollusca; Gastropoda; Aplysiida; Aplysiidae
Exons: 4
Source: RefSeq, a predicted model, not a curated record